CCGCACUCAUCUUCCACACCUCGGGAUCCCCAUCGCUUGAACCAAAUCAAAUCCAUCUCCUCCUCAUUUUCACCACUAACCCAACCAGCGAGCCCCUCCUCCUCUCGAUCUAGAGCCCGAGCGCUCGACCCCCUCAUCCACGAGCUCGAUCAGGAGAGGUGCUCCCGAUCGUGCAAUCCUCCUCCUCAUCCAGGACCACCUCUUCUCGCGGAGUCCAGCCGCCGGACCAGCAGCACCGCCCCGACGCACCUUGACGCCGAGCACCAACAGGAACUGCUCGCCGCCCCUGCUCCUUUUCUUCCCUUCCUUUUCCUCUAACUCCCCUCUCUUUCUCUUAUCUGUCUCACAUCUUCCCCGUGCACAGGAACACCAUGGCCGCCGCCCGUUCUAGCUUCGUCUCGAGCGCCACCAGCAGCAGCAUCAGGCCGUCGCCCUAGUCGUUCCGCAGACAACACCACCAUGGCUGCCCGAACCUGAAGCUUCACCGCUACCUCGUUCCACGCCCCGCCUCCGGCUAGAUUGGAUGUCCCCUGCCUCUAGCGUGUUGCCGUCCAGGACCCCGCAGGCCGCUCCACUCGCCGGAGUUGGAGUCCCGCAGGUCGCGGCUCCUCGACCUCCACUGCGGCCUCCCCUGCCUCCAUGGACGAGUCCAACACCUGCAGCCAUGGGCGCCUCAAGCUAGGGAUUGCCUUGCCGCCCUUGCAACCUUGGCCUCGCCUUCACGCCUCAACCGGCCUCGUCGUUGCCGGGAACCCCAGGCUAGCCGCCGCCGUGCUAAGUCACCUGCUCCACGCCGGGCUCGGCUUCCUCGUCGUCUUCAGCAAACCAGAGCGCCAAAGCCCCCUGCCUCGCCCCGCUUGCCCGCGCCAGUCGCCGCCGAUGACCAUCUCCGGGACCUCCUCGCUGACCCGCCGCUUCCCGCGCCAGCGUCGACCUCCCCUGCUUCCUCCUAACUAGCGUGCGUGCAUUGACUGCACGAGGGCAGCGCCUAGGCCAGCCGCGCCAGUUUCAGUCAAGGCCUGCUAACCCUCCACGGGUCAAAGGCCUGUUGGCCCAAUUUCCGAUAACGUCGCGUUUGUGAGGAUCCGUUCGUCUACGUCCGUUUGU
Triticum dicoccoides is the source of this 1107-nucleotide long non-coding RNA. RefSeq lists it as uncharacterized. The transcript has 3 exons. Lineage: Eukaryota; Viridiplantae; Streptophyta; Magnoliopsida; Poales; Poaceae. The record is from RefSeq and is a predicted model, not a curated record.